ACCUGGAGGUAUAAGGCAUUUUAGGCACAUGUUCUCGAAUCCUACUUCCACAACCCAAGACAGAGAUCAAGUACCACGUCACUGACCCCAGAUUGGCGAGACUGCAGAACAGAGAUGGAAAGAGAGACAUACCUUCCAUAGACGUAGUAGAGGCCAAUCGGGUGUUUGUCGAAGCCUCGCUGUUGGAUUCAAGCUCUGACCCCGGCGAGCGGCGCUCUCGCCGGGCCGCAGCCUAUCGCUCCACCUCGGCCGUUCAGCUGCGAGGAUGUCAUCUUUCUUUUUUUAUCGCCCGCUCUCCCUCCUCCCUCCCUGUCUCUUUCUUCCUUUUCUUUUUUAAUUCCUCUUUCUUCUCCCCCUCCUCUCCUUUUUUCGCACCGCUAUGUCCCACUUGCUCUUAAAGGGAUAGGGUUUCCUCCUCGGACACCCCCCUCUCACUUCCGUCUCUCGGCGGAGUCCGUCCUCUCCCCUUCCUUCCUGGGUUUUGUCGGCCGACACAAAAUUCCCCCCCUCGCUGCUUUUUUUUUUUUCCUUCUUCUUCUUCUCUCUCGCUUUCCUCAAGCCGAACAAAUCUGCGCCGCAGAAAAACAGCCGGGAUGACUUUUCAUUAACGACGACAGACGCAUCUUAAAGGGAGGUGUCCACAGAGCCUCCAGCCUCAAUGGGAGUCAUGAUGUCAGAGCCACGAGCGGCACAGGACGAAUAGCAGCUCAGGAAAAUCACACAAUAGACGAAGAGAAAAACCAGCCAGGCCAAGAACAGGAAAGAGUGUUACUUUUAACAUUCACGCGCUCUUAAAUGUAAAAAUCCGACGAUUUUAUUUUAUUUUAUUUUUUUUAUUUAUUUAUGGCAAAUCAAACGUAUUUUUGUUUGAUAGUAGGACAACAUGAGACAAUUUCGAUCUGAUCAACCAAAAAAAUAACAGGAAGCAUUAAUAAUAUACAAUAAUUUAAACAACAACUGCUGUUUCUGCUUCUCAAAUGUGAAAAUCUAUUGAUUGUUGGUAAUUAAACGUGCUUUCAGCUGUUAAUUGAACAAGAGGAGACACUUCAACAUGUCAACAUGUGUUUGUUUGUUUUUCACAUUUUAAUCUGAUGAACCGAGAAAACAAAACAACAACAGGAAAUGUGUUGUUUCCUGCUUCUGUGCUGUAAAAAUGUCAUCAUUGGAUUAUUGUUAUUUUAUUAUUAUUAUUUUUAAUGUUAAUUGGACACUAGUAUGCCAGGAUGAUACUUUUAGUUCUUUUGGCACCCUGAAGAAGGCCUCCAAGUCAAAACGUUGGUCCUGCCUGCAGGCAUUUCAUUGAAAUAAGUUUUACUUCUACAUCGGAGCUACAGGUGACUCCAGUUUCUUUAGUAUUUAGUAUGAUACUUAUAAACAUUUUGAUCUGAUCAAUCAAGAAAACAAUCAGGGAAGAUUAAGUCAUAGAAGAAGACUAGAAGUCAUUAUAAAGCAACAAAAAAAAAAAAAAAAAAAAAAAAUUCAAGCUUGUGUGAUGUGAAAUGUGAUGAUUAUUGAAAAUGAAAUGAGUUGUCUACUAUUAGUUGGGCGCUAGUGUUAUGUUUUUAAACAUAAAAAUAAGAAAUAUUAAUAAUAUAUCAUAUAUUGAUAUUAUCAUAUCAUAUUAUCACAUAAUAUCAAUUUGAAGCAAAAUCUAUUGUUUUCAGUUUCUCAAAUGUGAAAAUUAGAUGAUUAUUGGAAUUUGUGUUUUUGAGGAUUAAUUGAACAAGAUGAGAUAUUAUAAUAAGUCAAUGUGUAUGUUUUUUUUAACAAUUUGAUCUGAUUGAAGAAGAUGAACUGUUUUGCCUCACCUUAACAGUUGCAGUAACACAUGUCUUAAUAAUAAUGAAACGUGAGUAAAGCACACCAAAUCAAGACAAGUUAAUGUGUUAAUAUCAAUUUAUUAUCUUUUUUAAAUCACUUUUUUAAAACACCCCAUUUCUUUUCCAAUACACGUGUGAACACCCCUCUCACCCCCUCCCUUUCUCAAGCUUCCAGUUGCUUGAUUUGAAUAUUUAAUAAGAAUUUCAACCCAACUUCCCUCCCCACCAAAACAAAACAAGAUAAAAUAAAAAGCAAAAAUCUGCAAAUCACAGAUGAGCCUGUGCUGCGUCUCCGUCCUCCAUCCAGACGUCUCUGCUCUAGCCACCGACCUCUGACACCGACAACAACCCACCUAGAAACACAACCACACUGAUUCCCACGCACAAUAGGCCAUACCCCCCUCCCCUCCCCAAGUCUUAGUUUAUAUAAGGAGUUUAUGCAUGCACUGAGAUUCCAACCAAGCAUAAAGUAGUAGGUUAUACAGGGAGUUGUCUUGAGCUGGUGUUUCUGAGUCAUACAAACAGCAAGGGUGAUUAUCGUUUCGUUUUUCUUUAAAUUAAUUAAUUAUUAAAUAAAAUAAAAAUGAAUAUGAAAAAAAAAA
Mugil cephalus (flathead mullet) is the source of this 2422-nucleotide long non-coding RNA. RefSeq lists it as uncharacterized. The record is from RefSeq and is a predicted model, not a curated record. The transcript is spliced from 2 exons. Lineage: Eukaryota; Metazoa; Chordata; Actinopteri; Mugiliformes; Mugilidae.